CCAGACUCCUACGGGAGGCAGCAGUGGGGGAUAUUGCACAAUGGGGGAAACCCUGAUGCAGCGACGCCGCGUGAGUGAAGAAGUAUUUCGGUAUGUAAAGCUCUAUCAGCAGGGAAGAAAAUGACAGUACCUGACCAAGAAGCCCCGGCUAACUACGUGCCAGCAGCCGCGGUAAUACGUAGGGGGCAAGCGUUAUCCGGAUUUACUGGGUGUAAAGGGAGCGUAGACGGUUAUGUAAGUCUGGAGUGAAAGCCCGGGGCCCAACCCCGGGACUGCUUUGGAAACUGGGUAACUGGAGUACAGGAGGGGCAGGCGGAAUUCCUGGUGUAGCGGUGAAAUGCGUAGAUAUUAGGAGGAACACCAGUGGCGAAGGCGGCUUACUGGACUGUAACUGACGUUGAGGCUCGAAAGCGUGGGGAGCAAACAGGAUUAGAUACCCCCGUAA
Molecule: ribosomal RNA, 445 nt
Filed under: uncultured bacterium
Lineage: Bacteria
Description: bacterial SSU rRNA
Rfam family: Bacterial small subunit ribosomal RNA
Source: RNAcentral